This 440-nucleotide ribosomal RNA is filed under the name uncultured bacterium. RNAcentral describes it as "partial 16S ribosomal RNA". It matches the Rfam family "Bacterial small subunit ribosomal RNA", at positions 338 to 795 of the family's 1533-position model. The record is from RNAcentral.
CCUACGGGGGGCAGCAGUGGGGAAUAUUGCACAAUGGGGGAAACCCUGAUGCAGCGACGCCGCGUGAGUGAAGAAGUAUUUCGGUACGUAAAGCUCUAUCAGCAGGGAAGAAAAUGACGGUACCUGACUAAGAAGCCCCGGCUAACUACGUGCCAGCAGCCGCGGUAAUACGUAGGGGGCAAGCGUUAUCCGGAUUUACUGGGUGGAAAGGGAGCGUAGACGGCAGCGCAAGUCUGGAGUGAAAUCCAAUGGCUUAACCAUGGAACUGCUUUGGAAACUGUGCAGCUGGAGUGCAGGAGAGGUAAGCGGAAUUCCUAGUGUAGCGGUGAAAUGCGUAGAUAUUAGGAGGAACACCAGUGGCGAAGGCGGCUUACUGGACUGUAACUGACGUUGAGGCUCGAAAGCGUGGGGAGCAAACAGGAUUAGAUACCCGUGUAGUC